AUUGAACGCUGGCGGCAUGCCUUACACAUGCAAGUCGAACGGUAACAGGUCUUCGGAUGCUGACGAGUGGCGAACGGGUGAGUAAUACAUCGGAACGUGCCUAGUAGUGGGGGAUAACUACUCGAAAGAGUGGCUAAUACCGCAGAGAUCUACGGAAGAAAGCAGGGGAUUGCAAGACCUUGUGCUACUAGAGCGGCCGAUGGCAGAUUAGGUAGUUGGUGGGAUAAAAGCUUACCAAGCCGACGAUCUGUAGCUGGUCUGAGAGGACGAUCAGCCACACUGGGACUGAGACACGGCCCAGACUCCUACGGGAGGCAGCAGUGGGGAAUUUUGGACAAUGGGCGAAAGCCUGAUCCAGCAAUGCCGCGUGCAGGAUGAAGGCCUUCGGGUUGUAAACUGCUUUUGUACGGAACGAAAAGCCCCGGGUUAAUACCCUGGGGUCAUGACGGUACCGUAAGAAUAAGCACCGGCUAACUACGUGCCAGCCGCCGCGGUAA
This 497-nucleotide ribosomal RNA is filed under the name uncultured bacterium. RNAcentral describes it as "partial 16S ribosomal RNA". It matches the Rfam family "Bacterial small subunit ribosomal RNA", at positions 30 to 523 of the family's 1533-position model. The record is from RNAcentral.